AUGGAUGCUGAAAAUAAUUCAGGAAGGUCAUUCUGUCAUUUAAAGGUCAUCUUCAUCCACUUUUUCCAGCAAGCUGUCAUCUCUUUAGUAUUUACAACAGCUACAGGGGAAAACCACCAGAAGACAUGUCCUUCUUUACAACUUAAGGAGAUGACAUCUUUCUGUAUGAAGAGAUGAAAUCUGUUCAAGUCUCCCUGGAGAAGCUCCUGUCAGCAUGGUGCAUCUGUAGCACCAUAUUCAUGAUGAGCAGAUUGACAGACGUCUCUGGAUUCUCCUUGUCUAAAGAACUUUCAGUAAUGACACAAAGACUAUCCCACUGAGUAGCUGACUGUAAGAUUUAUGAAAUUGUGAAUGGAUCUUUCUUUACAAUGAAAUAAAAGCUUGUUGGGUUUAGGACA
This 398-nucleotide long non-coding RNA is filed under the name Anas platyrhynchos platyrhynchos (common mallard). Its description in RNAcentral is "lncRNA (ENSAPLG00000017577.1)". The record is from RNAcentral. Lineage: Eukaryota; Metazoa; Chordata; Aves; Anseriformes; Anatidae.